Triticum dicoccoides is the source of this 1315-nucleotide long non-coding RNA. RefSeq lists it as uncharacterized. Lineage: Eukaryota; Viridiplantae; Streptophyta; Magnoliopsida; Poales; Poaceae. The transcript has 5 exons. The record is from RefSeq and is a predicted model, not a curated record.
UCAGUCCAAGCACCUCUGUCCUCAAUCUCCGUCCCGGAGCUCUCUCCCCCGUCCAGCAGUCGAUGCCCACCUCGCGCGACCACGCAUCAUCGCCGGCCGCCGUCCCUACCGCAUCUCCCUGAGCUAGCAGCCUCCUUCCUCUGGCCCAAGUUGCUCACAGCCUCCUUCCUCUGGCACACGAACGCACGCACGCUGGCCCAAGCACCCAGGCUGUGCGUAGCCGGGAGGAAGCAGGACGCGGCCGGCCAAGGUCGGCGGCUGGAGCGUGCCGGCCCAGCCAUGGCGUCCAGCGACCGAGAUGGCCGCUGGCGGUCAGUGAUCUGACCAGAUCCGAGCUCGCCGGACUGGCGGCGGCGCGCUGAAGGCUGGGGCACACCAGGUGUUCGAUCAAAUGCGUGCCCUUGGAGAUGCGCUAACCAAUCUUGUUUUUAGCCAUGGCUCCGUCAGCAUCGAGUAUGGUGACGGCGGCGCUUCCCGAGGAAAAUCAAAAUAUAUAUGCUAUGUUUCUUAGGUACCUGUAUAUAUAUAUAUAUAUAUGCAAUUGUGCAUCGGUGGCUUGCUGCACGGCGAAGAGAUGGCAGAUACAAUAGCUGCUGUGGAGUACUUACUGAGGUAGCCUUUGGGGAUCAGACGCCUCUCCGGGUCUGGCGGAUGUGGCCGUUCAAGCACCCUACUGUAUACCGGCCGGCUGCGCCGAACCAGCCGGUGGCUAUUGCUCCGUCUCUGGGCUCUGGGUACCAUUCCGGACUGGCCUGCCGGUCCAGUUGUCCCUGAUCCGAACUGCUCUGGGGAGGCACCUCUCAGUGCAUCCCGGGUGAGUGGAAGCGCAGGCGGCGCCAUCCAGUUUACCCAAUGAAGUGUUGUCAUUGCAAACCUUGUACCUCCACUCGAGGCGGCAAUCAGGGGUUUUCCUCGAGGAGCAAAUUCUGCAAUCUGUACUCAUGGGAGAAUGUUUUCGGUAUCAGGAAAGUGUCACCAAAACGUCCCAGGGAUUGCUUGCAGUUGUGCAGGCAAGCCGGACAGCGAGAACAAGUUCAUCCGCUAGAACAAAGUGCCCUGCGAUGCUAAGCCUGUUAAGGACGGAAGAUGGAGGCUGGUAUGGUAUUUAUGUGCGCACAGGGUGUUGCAUAACCAUGAACUCCUCGGAACUUGUAGUCCACGUGGGGUUCCUAAUCUUGAAGUCAGAAGUGCCUUCACGACCGGAGCAAGCGCCACCUGGACCAGACUGGCAUUUCACUUGAGAUGGUGUUGUGAUGACCUCCUGAAGUAUGGUGAGUAUUGAAUAUCCUUUCUCCAUCUUUUUUUUCUUGUAGAA